This 31-nucleotide non-coding RNA is filed under the name Homo sapiens (human). Lineage: Eukaryota; Metazoa; Chordata; Mammalia; Primates; Hominidae. The record is from RNAcentral.
ACCCACCAGGAACCAGGAUGAUUGAAUGAGC